This 528-nucleotide ribosomal RNA is filed under the name uncultured methanogenic archaeon. Its description in RNAcentral is "bacterial SSU rRNA". It matches the Rfam family "Archaeal small subunit ribosomal RNA", at positions 111 to 643 of the family's 1478-position model. The record is from RNAcentral. Lineage: Archaea; Methanobacteriati; Methanobacteriota.
GCCCUAUGGUGGAGGAUAACCCCGGGAAACUGGGGAUAAUACUCCAUAAGUCAGGAGUACUGGAAUGUCUCCUAACUGAAAGUUGCGGCGCCAUAGGAUGAAUCUGCGGCCGAUUAGGUAGUUGUUGGGGUAACGGCCCAACAAGCCUGUAAUCGGUACGGGUUGUGGGAGCAAGAGCCCGGAGAUGGAAUCUGAGACACGAUUCCAGGCCCUACGGGGCGCAGCAGGCGCGAAUAACUUUACAAUGCAGGAAACUGUGAUAAGGGAACCCCGAGUGCCCGUAAACGCGGGCUGUCCCGGUGUUUAAAACACAUCGGAAGAAAGGGCCGGGCAAGACCGGUGCCAGCCGCCGCGGUAAUACCGGCGGCUCGAGUGGUGACCACUUUUAUUGGGCUUAAAGCGUUCGUAGCUUGAUUUUUAAGUCUCUUGGGAAAUCUUACGGCUUAACUGUGAGGCGUCUAAGAGAUACUGGGAAUCUAGGGACCGGGAGAGGUAAGAGGUACUUCAGGGGUAGAAGUGAAAUUCUGU